Gavialis gangeticus (Gharial) is the source of this 131-nucleotide long non-coding RNA. RefSeq lists it as uncharacterized. The transcript has 3 exons. The record is from RefSeq and is a predicted model, not a curated record. Lineage: Eukaryota; Metazoa; Chordata; Crocodylia; Gavialidae.
AUGUGUAUGGGGGAAACGGACAGACUGGUGCAGACUCUGGGCGUCUAUAGCUCCAGUCUGAGCCAUCUUCAGUCAGUUGGGCCCCUCAUUAGCUCCCCUUUGCCACCUGUAAGCAAUCUAUCAGGCUGCUU